Molecule: microRNA precursor, 116 nt
Organism: Medicago truncatula (barrel medic)
Lineage: Eukaryota; Viridiplantae; Streptophyta; Magnoliopsida; Fabales; Fabaceae
Rfam family: mir-172 microRNA precursor family
About the family: mir-172 has been experimentally verified in Arabidopsis thaliana.
Source: Rfam
UUGUUUGCAGAUGUAGCAUCAUCAAGAUUCAUAUGUGAAUGAUGCAGAGUGGAACUGCUAAUAUUUCAAUUGAUCUUUUGAAAUAAGAAUCUUGAUGAUGCUGCAUCAGCCAUAUA